This 550-nucleotide ribosomal RNA is filed under the name uncultured fungus. Its description in RNAcentral is "SSU rRNA". It matches the Rfam family "Eukaryotic small subunit ribosomal RNA", at positions 20 to 575 of the family's 1831-position model. The record is from RNAcentral. Lineage: Eukaryota; Fungi.
GUAGUCAUAUGCUUGUCUCAAAGAUUAAGCCAUGCAUGUCUAAGUAUAAGCAAUUAUACCGUGAAACUGCGAAUGGCUCAUUAAAUCAGUUAUCGUUUAUUUGAUAGUACCUUACUACUUGGAUAACCGUGGUAAUUCUAGAGCUAAUACAUGCUGAAAACCCCAACUUCGGGAGGGGUGUAUUUAUUAGAUAAAAAACCAACGCCCUUCGGGGCUUCUUGGUGAUUCAUGAUAACUUCACGGAUCGCAUGGCCUUGCGCCGGCGACGGUUCAUUCAAAUUUCUGCCCUAUCAACUUUCGAUGGUAAGGUAUUGGCUUACCAUGGUUUCAACGGGUAACGGGGAAUUAGGGUUCGAUUCCGGAGAGGGAGCCUGAGAAACGGCUACCACAUCCAAGGAAGGCAGCAGGCGCGCAAAUUACCCAAUCCCGACACGGGGAGGUAGUGACAAUAAAUACUGAUACAGGGCUCUUUUGGGUCUUGUAAUUGGAAUGAGUACAAUUUAAAUCCCUUAACGAGGAACAAUGGAGGGCAAGUCUGGUGCCAGCAGCC